CAUGGCUCAGAUUGAACGCUGGCGGCAGGCCUAACACAUGCAAGUCGAACGGUAACAGAAAGCAGCUUGCUGCUUUGCUGACGAGUGGCGGACGGGUGAGUAAUGUCUGGGAAACUGCCUGAUGGAGGGGGAUAACUACUGGAAACGGUAGCUAAUACCGCAUAACGUCGCAAGACCAAAGAGGGGGACCUUCGGGCCUCUUGCCAUCGGAUGUGCCCAGAUGGGAUUAGCUAGUAGGUGGGGUAAAGGCUCACCUAGGCGACGAUCCCUAGCUGGUCUGAGAGGAUGACCAGCCACACUGGAACUGAGACACGGUCCAGACUCCUACGGGAGGCAGCAGUGGGGAAUAUUGCACAAUGGGCGCAAGCCUGAUGCAGCCAUGCCGCGUGUAUGAAGAAGGCCUUCGGGUUGUAAAGUACUUUCAGCGGGGAGGAAGGGAGUAAAGUUAAUACCUUUGCUCAUUGACGUUACCCGCAGAAGAAGCACCGGCUAACUCCGUGCCAGCAGCCGCGGUAAUACGGAGGGUGCAAGCGUUAAUCGGAAUUACUGGGCGUAAAGCGCACGCAGGCGGUUUGUUAAGUCAGAUGUGAAAUCCCCGGGCUCAACCUGGGAACUGCAUCUGAUACUGGCAAGCUUGAGUCUCGUAGAGGGGGGUAGAAUUCCAGGUGUAGCGGUGAAAUGCGUAGAGAUCUGGAGGAAUACCGGUGGCGAAGGCGGCCCCCUGGACGAAGACUGACGCUCAGGUGCGAAAGCGUGGGAGCAAACAGGAUUAGAUACCCUGGUAGUCCACGCCGUAAACG
This 800-nucleotide ribosomal RNA is filed under the name uncultured bacterium. RNAcentral describes it as "bacterial SSU rRNA". It matches the Rfam family "Bacterial small subunit ribosomal RNA", at positions 18 to 808 of the family's 1533-position model. The record is from RNAcentral.